GUGGCUUGGUCAUGUUCUUUCCAAUUUUACUCGCGAUCCCAGACGGACGUCUGAGGAAAAUACUCAAGUAGUGCAGUGAAAGGAAAAAUUCUAACCUCGACCGUAAUUACCGCGUGUCCAUCGUGGCUAAGAUCUAGUCAAAAGAUCAGCCGACCAUUCCUACGUUUAUUAAGCGAAGGCCGAACCCAUCGGGUUUGGCCGUACGUAAUACCGUACGAAACGCCGGUCGUAGUGCCGUAAGCCGUACCCACUACAGUCUCGUCACCUUACCACACAUAUAAAUACCCAGCGUCCCGAUCGACUACAGGAUGUGUUAGCCGUCUUCGCCCCCAAAUCUUCUUUCGGCGUGGCGUCUGCAUACAUUGACUUUCGUCAUUGCUACGUCGCUUACGCCGCCCGCAUACGAACAGUAACGCUAAAGGAGAAGACAUUUACCGGUGCCGAAAUACUGUUUGCGUUGCUGAUGAAGUCAUUCGGUGUCUCGAUCAUGAUGGCUAUGCCCAUGCAUUUCUUCAUAUUAGAAUAAUACUUUGGAACCCCACUAUUGUACUGACCCUAGGAUUAACAUUAAAAGUUAAUUUCGUGUGAUUCGGUUUGGCUGGCUUAUCAUAAAGAAAUGUGCAGCUAGAAGGAAAGGAACUAAAACUAAUACUCGCGCGUAUCGCCUAUCUACUCUGACACACUGAUAUUUACAAGUUUUCAGCCACCCUCAUCGACCACAUGGAACCGCUUUCAUCGUUGGAUUUGAUCGUAAUGUGAGUGAUAACCUGUGAACGUCUGCUAUAUGUGAAUUCAAAAUUUUACGCAAGUCGAAGCAACAUUAAAGAUUCCAUGCCUCGACCGUAAACUUCCCAGCCGUACUGUAACGCUGACCAAUCCAAUUGUUCACGUGCUUGUUUUGUUCUGCUC
Molecule: long non-coding RNA, 909 nt
Organism: Drosophila miranda
Lineage: Eukaryota; Metazoa; Arthropoda; Insecta; Diptera; Drosophilidae
Exons: 3
Source: RefSeq, a predicted model, not a curated record